This 505-nucleotide ribosomal RNA is filed under the name uncultured bacterium. RNAcentral describes it as "partial 16S ribosomal RNA". It matches the Rfam family "Bacterial small subunit ribosomal RNA", at positions 28 to 507 of the family's 1533-position model. The record is from RNAcentral.
GACGAACGCUGGCGGCGUGCCUAAUACAUGCAAGUAGAACGCACAGUUUAUACCGUAGCUUGCUACACCAUAGACGGUGAGUUGCGAACGGGGGAGUAACGCGUAGCUAACCUGCCUGGUAGCGGGGGAUAACUAUUGGAAACGAUAGAUAAUACCGCAUAAUAUUAAUUAUUGCAUGAUAAUUAACUGAAAGGUGCAAUUGAAUCACUACCAGAUGGACCUGCGUUGUAUUAGCUAGUAGGUGAGGUAACGGCUCACCUAGGCGACGAGACAUAGCCGACCGGAGAGGGUGGUUGGCCAGCCUGGGACUGUGACACGGCCCAGAGUGCCACGGGAAGCAGCAGUAGGGCAUCUUCGGCAAUGGGCGGAAGUCUGAGCGAACAACGCCGCGUGAGUGUAGAAGGUCUUCGGGUCGUAAAGCUCUGUUGUCAGGGAAGAACCGGUGUGAGGGUGUAAAGUUCACACUGUGACGGUAUCUUAUCAGAAAGCGACGGCUAACUACGUG